This 392-nucleotide ribosomal RNA is filed under the name uncultured bacterium. Its description in RNAcentral is "partial 16S ribosomal RNA". It matches the Rfam family "Bacterial small subunit ribosomal RNA", at positions 523 to 918 of the family's 1533-position model. The record is from RNAcentral.
AUACGGAGGAUCCGAGCGUUAUCCGGAUUUAUUGGGUUUAAAGGGUGCGCAGGCGGCCAUUUAAGUCAGCGGUUAAAUCGUGGGGCUCAACCCCAUUCUGCCGUUGAUACUGGGUGGCUUGAUUGCGGUCGAGGUUGGCGGAAUUCGUUGUGUAGCGGUGAAAUGCAUAGAUAUGACGAAGAACACCGAUUGCGUAGGCAGCUGACCAGACCGCAAAUGACGCUCAUGCACGAAAGGGCGGGGAUCGAACAGGAUUAGAUACCCUGGUAGUCCGCACAGUAAACGAUGAUGACUAACCGUCGGCGAUAGACCGCCGGUGGCCAAGCGAAAGCGAUAAGUCAUCCACCUGGGGAGUACGACCGCAAGGUUGAAACUCAAAGGAAUUGACGGGG